GUUGAGCUUGCCUCCACUCUGGUACUGUAAGAAAACAUGAGAGAUGCGGAAUAAUUCGAAGGUAGUUUUUUCAAAUACCACUACUUUCAUAGUUUCCUUACUUACUUGGUGUGGUGGAGGGCGUCCGUCAGGAUGACUUAUACUAGUACCAAUGGUUGUCGACGUUCUUUCGUAUACAUUGUCGUGUUUAAGAUUACCAGACGUCUUAUUCGUUGUGCCAUGGCGAAUUAGGUUGUUUCGUUCGACAACAUACUCCUAGCGUGAUCCGAAGAUUCUACAAGGCGAGGAGCUUGACUAGGGAGGUAAGUCUGUCAAAAAAAUAACGCAGAUGUCCUAACUUCAGCUCAGCGAGGACAGAAACCUCGCGCAGAGCAAAAGGGCAAAUGCUGGCUUGACCCCAAUGCUCAGUUAGUCUGCGAAAGCACAGCCCAUCAAAACUUUUUAAAGUAAAAUUAUUGC
RNAcentral lists this non-coding RNA (459 nucleotides) under Rhodnius prolixus. Its description in RNAcentral is "Eukaryotic large subunit ribosomal RNA". It matches the Rfam family "Eukaryotic large subunit ribosomal RNA", at positions 2415 to 2795 of the family's 3401-position model. Lineage: Eukaryota; Metazoa; Arthropoda; Insecta; Hemiptera; Reduviidae. The record is from Rfam by way of RNAcentral.